GCGAGGGUAGCCAAGCUAGGUCAAACCGUGGAAAGGACGGGGCUAAAGGCGACAGACUCAAGAUCUGUUCCAGAAGUGGUUCACCGGUUCAAAUCCGGUCCCUCGCA
RNAcentral lists this transfer RNA (107 nucleotides) under Methanobacteriota archaeon. RNAcentral's name for it is "Euryarchaeota archaeon (sediment metagenome) tRNA-Leu". It matches the Rfam family "tRNA". Rfam says of the family: Transfer RNA (tRNA) molecules are approximately 80 nucleotides in length. Their secondary structure includes four short double-helical elements and three loops (D, anti-codon, and T loops). Lineage: Archaea; Methanobacteriati; Methanobacteriota. The record is from RNAcentral.